Non-coding RNA from Pelobates cultripes (western spadefoot toad), 244 nucleotides. NCBI's taxonomy places the organism in Eukaryota, Metazoa, Chordata, Amphibia, Anura, Pelobatidae. The record is from the annotation of a GenBank genome assembly.
AACAAAAGGAAAGGAGCUCGGUCAUUAUAUCGUAUAGCCCGGGAAACUGUGACUGCUUUUGUAGAAUGUGCCAUUCACCCUGGGAUCAAAAUGUGAUUAUUUUUUUUUACUGUUGUGAUUGCUAUAACUUUUCAUUGCUUUAACAUAGGUACUGAGGCAGUUUCAUCCUGAUGAUACCCAUGAGAGAUGACAAAAACCCAGGAAGAUUGGCUGAAGAUAUUGGGUCUUUCUGCUUAGAUUAAAA